UGUGCUCCUGAGACGCGGACC
RNAcentral lists this unclassified non-coding RNA (21 nucleotides) under Chlamydomonas reinhardtii. RNAcentral describes it as "small RNA Cre_3600". The record is from RNAcentral. Lineage: Eukaryota; Viridiplantae; Chlorophyta; Chlorophyceae; Chlamydomonadales; Chlamydomonadaceae.